UACGUAGGGGGCAAGCGUUGUCCGGAAUCAUUGGGCGUAAAGCGCGUGUAGGCGGCUUGGUAAGUCUGCUCUGAAAGCCCGGAGCUCAACUCCGGAACUGCCAUUGAAACUGUAAGACUUGAGGGUGAGAGAGGUGAGUGGAAUUCCCAGUGUAGAGGUGAAAUUCGUAGAUAUUGGGAAGAACACCGGUGGCGAAGGCGGCUCACUGGCUCAUAUCUGACGCUCAGGCGCGACAGCGUGGGGAUCAAACAGG
Molecule: ribosomal RNA, 253 nt
Filed under: uncultured bacterium
Lineage: Bacteria
Description: partial 16S ribosomal RNA
Rfam family: Bacterial small subunit ribosomal RNA
Source: RNAcentral